AACUGGUCGAUCCUGCCAGUAGUCAUAUGCUUGUCUCAAAGAUUAAGCCAUGCAUGUCUAAGUAUGAAUAGUAUUCUUGAUACUGUGAAACUGCGAAUGGCUCAUUAAAUCAGUUAUAGUUUAUUUGAUAGUUUGCAACUCGUUUUUCGGAGCGGUGUUGUGCUAGACGGAUAGCCGUGGUAAUUCUAGAGCUAAUACGUGCGACAAGGCCCGAGAGAGAGGUGUGUGUAUGCGCAUUUUUUCUUCUCGAGGGCUGCAUUUGUUAGGUAUAAAGCCAGCAGGAACAUGACUGGUGAAUCAGAAUAACUUUGCUGACCGUUACACAUUUGUGUGUGAUGGUGUCUCAUUCGAAUUUCUGCCCUAUCAACUUUCGAUGGUAAGGUAUUGGCUUACCAUGGUGACAACGGGUGACGGGGAACAUUUGGUUCGAUUCCGGAGAGGGAGCCUGAGAGACGGCUACCACUUCCAAGGAAGGCAGCAGGCGCGCAAAUUACCCAAUCCUGACACAGGGAGGUAGUGACAAUAAAUACCAAUGCACGGUGUUUUUUAUGCACUGUGCAAUUGGAAUGAGAACAAUGUAAAGACCUUAUCAAGGAACAAUUGGAGGGCAAGUCUGGUGCCAGCAGCCGCGGUAAUUCCAGCUCCAAAAGCGUAUACUAAAGUUGUUGCAGUUAAAAAGCUCGUAGUUGGAUUUCAUGCGGGGUUCACGGUGUGUGGUGGGGGUGAGACUCUGUUUCGCCCUUGCCCCGCACUGUUUGGACUCUGCAGUUUUAAUAUUCCCUGGUGGCGCCUUUGGCGCGUGCCCUUGAUUGGGUGUGUGUCAAGUCACGUAGUGGUGGGGCGCUGUUGGGGGCUUUACUUUGAAAAAAUUAGAGUGUUCAAAGCAGGCAGUCAUUUGAUUUGCUUGAAUAGAUUAGCAUGGAACAACGGAAGAGGACUUUUGGGCCUGUACUGUUGGCGUGUGGUGCGGGGUGUGUGGAGUGAGAAACCGCAAGGUUUUCUCAUUCCUCCCUCACCACAUCGGGUCUGAAGUAAUGAUUAAUAGGGACGGUUGGGGGCACUGGUAUUUCGUUGUCAGAGGUGAAAUUCUUGGAUUUACGAAAGACCGCCGACUGCGAAAGCAUUUGCCAAGGACGCUUUCAUUGAUCAAGAACGAAAGUUAGGGGAUCGAAGACGAUUAGAUACCGUCGUAGUCUUAACCAUAAACGAUGCCGGCCAGGGCUCGGUGGGCAGCACAAAUCAUUCUGUGAUGGAGGCGCCAUCGGGACCUUUAGGGAAACCAAAGCGUUUGGGUUCCGGGGGGAGUAUGAUCGCAAGAUUGAAACUUAAAGGAAUUGACGGAAGGGCACCACCAGGAGUGGAGCCUGCGGCUUAAUUUGACUCAACACGGGGAAACUCACCAGGUCCAGACAUGGGAAGGAUUGACAGAUUGACAGCUCUUUCUUGAUUCCAAGGGAGGUGGUGCAACCGUCCAGCGUGCUGUACACGCACAGAUAUAAGAAUGCUCUCAAUGUGUUUCUUCUUCUCAUGUGGGAGAUGUGGAGUUGAUGAUCCGAUGUGGCAAUGCUCAUGUUGAGAGAAGGGAUUCUGUAUGUGAAUGGAGAUGUGUGAAUGAAGAUGUGUGAAUGAGAAUACUGUAAGAGCAAUCACCGAAAUUGAUGAGACUACUUGAAGAAAGAGAAAUGUACUUUGUUGUGUAUGUGAUGAGGGCAUGUUGUUAUGUUGUUUGAUGAUUGUGAACCAUUGUAUUUUUGUUCUCAUUUGCACCUUGAUUAUGUUCGUUGAUUGUUUUGUGUAUUGUGAUUGCUACCAUUCAAGGGAUAUUGUGAGAAGUAGUUACGAGGCCGAGUCAAGCCACCAUGUGACAUUGGGCAUGUGAUGAAGUGAGGUAAAGUGAAGUGAAGUGAAAGGGUAGUGAAUGAUUGAUGUGUUAGUGGGUGCAGGAGAGUGGUUG
Molecule: ribosomal RNA, 1954 nt
Filed under: Salpingoeca rosetta
Lineage: Eukaryota; Choanoflagellata; Craspedida; Salpingoecidae
Description: 18S ribosomal RNA
Rfam family: Eukaryotic small subunit ribosomal RNA
Source: RNAcentral